This 679-nucleotide long non-coding RNA is filed under the name Carica papaya (papaya). RNAcentral's name for it is "long non-coding RNA (CPAP_LNC013545)". The record is from RNAcentral. Lineage: Eukaryota; Viridiplantae; Streptophyta; Magnoliopsida; Brassicales; Caricaceae.
CCCGCUGAUUCCUCUAUGGCCAAAUCGAGACCGAAAUCCCGGCCAAACGGCCGGAAUACUCGGCCGAAGCCCAGCGGCGCCACCGCGCCCCCUCUCGGUUUUUGCCUCCGACGAGGCCCUUCCCGGCCUCCGUUCGAUGCAAUUUUUAUAUCACCGUGAUCACCAUUCUUUUCUCUACAGGUUGACCGGAGCCGAAUCACCAAAACACGAACCUCGCCGGAGAGCCGCUGCACCCGAGAGCGCCGCCGCCGGUAAGCUCCGUUUUUUCGUGAUUUUUUGGCCCCCCGAGGGCCCUAGGGUUGUUUUCUGACAAGGACCAAUGCGAGCGUGGCCGAAUUCGGCCGAAAACGGCCGAAAACAGCCAACCCGAGGUGACUCGCCGCUGCCAGCGGCGGCGCCGUCGCCGGAGCACGGCGGAGCCGCCGUGCCGGAGUUGCGAUUUGGGCCGAAAGAGGCCCUGGGCCUAAUUUGGAUUUUUUUGGAACACGUGCAGGUACUCUUAGUGUGUUUCAGUUUCCCGAAAAAAAUUCAGGGAAAAAUUAAGGACGGCCUGCAGGCGCACUGUGAAUCGUAUUCGGAUCUCGAAAACAAGUAAGGACCCCUCACCCUAUUUCCUAUCACGGUAUUAAAGUUCAAAAUGAUAAAACGGUAUUUCUUGAAUUAACGCAUGUGUGAAAUU